AUACGUAGGGGGCGAGCGUUGUCCGGAAUGAUUGGGAGUAAAGGGCGAGUAGGCGGCCCGGUAAGUCUGGAGUGAAAGUCCUGUUUUUAAGAUGGGAAUUGCUUUGGAUACUGUCGGGCUUGAGUGCAGGAGAGGUAAGUGGAAUUCCCAGUGUAGCGGUGAAAUGCGUAGAGAUUGGGAGGAACACCAGUGGCGAAGGCGACUUACUGGACUGUAACUGACGCUGAGGCGCGAAAGUGUGGGGAGCAAACAGGAUUAGAUACCCUGGUAGUCCACACUGUAAACGAUGAAUGCUAGGUGUAGGGGGUAUCGACCCCUUCUGUGCCGCAGUCAACACAAUAAGCAUUCCGCCUGGGGAGUACGGCCGCAAGGUUGAAACUCAAAUGAAUUGACGGGG
Molecule: ribosomal RNA, 397 nt
Filed under: uncultured bacterium
Lineage: Bacteria
Description: partial 16S ribosomal RNA
Rfam family: Bacterial small subunit ribosomal RNA
Source: RNAcentral